RNAcentral lists this ribosomal RNA (253 nucleotides) under uncultured bacterium. RNAcentral's name for it is "partial 16S ribosomal RNA". It matches the Rfam family "Bacterial small subunit ribosomal RNA", at positions 524 to 776 of the family's 1533-position model. The record is from RNAcentral.
UACGUAGGGUGCAAGCGUUGUCCGGAAUUAUUGGGCGUAAAGAGCUCGUAGGCGGUCUGUCGCGUCGGCUGUGAAAACCCGGGGCUCAACCCCGGGCCUGCAGUCGAUACGGGCAGACUAGAGUGCGGUAGGGGAGACUGGAAUUCCUGGUGUAGCGGUGAAAUGCGCAGAUAUCAGGAGGAACACCGGUGGCGAAGGCGGGUCUCUGGGCCGUAACUGACGCUGAGGAGCGAAAGCCAGGGGAGCAAACGGG